This 253-nucleotide ribosomal RNA is filed under the name uncultured Akkermansia sp. RNAcentral's name for it is "partial 16S ribosomal RNA". It matches the Rfam family "Bacterial small subunit ribosomal RNA", at positions 524 to 776 of the family's 1533-position model. Lineage: Bacteria; Pseudomonadati; Verrucomicrobiota; Verrucomicrobiia; Verrucomicrobiales; Akkermansiaceae. The record is from RNAcentral.
UACAGAGGUCUCAAGCGUUGUUCGGAAUCACUGGGCGUAAAGCGUGCGUAGGCUGUUUCGUAAGUCGUGUGUGAAAGGCGCGGGCUCAACCCGCGGACGGCACAUGAUACUGCGAGACUAGAGUAAUGGAGGGGGAACCGGAAUUCUCGGUGUAGCAGUGAAAUGCGUAGAUAUCGAGAGGAACACUCGUGGCGAAGGCAGCAUACCGGCGCCCAACUGACGCUGAGGCACGAAGGCCAGGGGAGCGAAAGGG